UGGGGAAUUUUCCGCAAUGGGCGAAAGCCUGACGGAGCAAUGCCGCGUGGAGGUGGAAGGCCUACGGGUCGUCAACUUCUUUUCUCGGAGAAGAAACAAUGACGGUAUCUGAGGAAUAAGCAUCGGCUAACUCUGNGCCAG
This 141-nucleotide ribosomal RNA is filed under the name uncultured bacterium. RNAcentral describes it as "partial 16S rRNA". It matches the Rfam family "Bacterial small subunit ribosomal RNA", at positions 355 to 511 of the family's 1533-position model. The record is from RNAcentral.